Molecule: RNA transcript, 1321 nt
Organism: Magnolia sinica
Lineage: Eukaryota; Viridiplantae; Streptophyta; Magnoliopsida; Magnoliales; Magnoliaceae
Gene name: 3-ketoacyl CoA thiolase 1, peroxisomal-like
Exons: 5
Source: RefSeq, a predicted model, not a curated record
CUCUCUCUCUCUCUCUAAACACUAGUCAUCCCUCUCUCUAUCACCAUGGCCCUCUGCUACAGUUUGGUCUUCCGUUGCUCAUAAAUCUCGGAUUCUCAGGUUCUCAAGCCCUCAUCCAGUAUCACUCACGUCAGAAUGUUGUUCAAGCAAGAAAUGCUUUGCUAAUGCCUAGCCCAAGAUCCAAACAGGCACAUAUGUGAUGUUAAUUCACAUAUAGGGUGUAGCUAAGAUUCUAGAUAUAUCAUUCUUAGCCAUUCAUGCGGAGACUCUACCAAUCAAGACAGUGAAUCGGAAAUGCGUAUCUGGACUUCAAGCACUAGCUGAUGUUGCUGCUGCAAUAAUGUCCAUUUUUUAUAUGAAAUCAGCCAGUGAAGUUCAAUCUCUUCAAUAUGCAUGUUUACGCUUGUGAAAAUGCCAAGUCCUUGAAGUUUUCUCUCAUGGACUUUGUUUCAAAAAUUCAUGGGCAUAGCAGCUAGAGUUGAGUCCAUGUCCAUCGAUUCUUGUGCUCCUAAACCUACUUUCAACCCUCAGAUGGGGCAGGUUCAUAUCCUUCUAAACCAAUAUCCUAAAGAUUGCUUGCUUCCCAUGGGAAUCACUUUAGAGAUUGUGGCAGAGCGGUACAAAAGUUUCACGCUUCGAUCGAGAUAAAGCCGCUCUUUUAUCUCAUAAAGAGGUUGCUGAGGCCACUACUGCAGGAAAAUUCAAUGAUGAGAUUGUCUCUGUACACACAGAUUUGGAUGCAAUGGUUUUCUUAUUGGAAACGUGAUUUAUAAACAUCCAAAGCUCCAGAACAAAGAUGGAUAUUGGGACUUCCUUGCAGGACAUUGAUGAUAAAAGUGGCAGUGAAAGAUUGGUUAUAGUUUUAGCUGAUGAAGGAAUUCAGCCUGAUACAUCUAUGCUUGAACCUUCAUUCAAAGAUGGUGGAACUGCCACUGCAGGUAAUUCUAGUCAAGCUAGUGAUGGUGCUGCAACUGUCCUGCUCAUGAAACGAGAAGUUACACUGCAGAGAUGUUUGCCAAUGCUGGGAACAUUCAGGUACUCUAUACUAAUGACUUAUGAGAGGAAUCAUCGAAUCAUGAAUGCAACAAACACGAAGUUUCCUGAUGUGCUCAUUCCCUACAGAUGGGACCCAUGAUUUGGUUUUCCAAACUGUUGAUGUGAUGGGCCUCACACAGGAUGUCUCAUCAUCAUCAUCUAAGCCUUAUUCUGAGUGUUUCAAUAUAAACUGUUUGUACUCACAAAGUUUUAUUAGAAAACCCAAAUCUCUGAUAGCUUCUGGCAAUCCAUAUGAUUGCCCUAAUUGGAUUUCUCUUUACCAGCA